GAUGAACGCUAGCUACAGGCUUAACACAUGCAAGUCGAGGGGAAACGACAUCGAAAGCUUGCUUUUGAUGGGCGUCGACCGGCGCACGGGUGAGUAACGCGUAUCCAACCUGCCCACCACUUGGGGAUAACCUUGCGAAAGUAAGACUAAUACCCAAUGAUAUCUCUAGAAGACAUCUGAAAGAGAUUAAAGAUUUAUCGGUGAUGGAUGGGGAUGCGUCUGAUUAGCUUGUUGGCGGGGUAACGGCCCACCAAGGCAACGAUCAGUAGGGGUUCUGAGAGGAAGGUCCCCCACAUUGGAACUGAGACACGGUCCAAACUCCUACGGGAGGCAGCAGUGAGGAAUAUUGGGCAAUGGACGAGAGUCUGAACCAGCCAAGUAGCGUGCAGGAAGACGGCCCUAUGGGUUGUAAACUGCUUUUAUAAGGGAAUAAAGUGAGUCUCGUGAGACUUUUUGCAUGUACCUUAUGAAUAAGGACCGGCUAAUUCCGUG
RNAcentral lists this ribosomal RNA (492 nucleotides) under uncultured bacterium. Its description in RNAcentral is "partial 16S ribosomal RNA". It matches the Rfam family "Bacterial small subunit ribosomal RNA", at positions 28 to 507 of the family's 1533-position model. The record is from RNAcentral.